Long non-coding RNA from Pelobates fuscus (common spadefoot toad), 1241 nucleotides. RefSeq lists it as uncharacterized. Lineage: Eukaryota; Metazoa; Chordata; Amphibia; Anura; Pelobatidae. The record is from RefSeq and is a predicted model, not a curated record. The transcript has 2 exons.
UUAUUACUAUAUCAUACUUAACAAAGUCGUAAUUGCCAUAGUCCUGUAAAUCAUGGCUCAGAGUUCUAUGUUAUAUGCUACUAUCCUACUAUACUACUGGGAAGCUCUCCUUGUAAUGUUAACAAGGUAAUAUGUGCUGGACAUAAAACCCCUUGGCUAUCCUGACAUCCAAUGACUCAUUCUCAUCUUACAGCACCUUACAAUUCCUAGAAUGUGGGUGCAGGCUACAGUUUUCAAGUUACCUUGUGCAGUUGUCUGGUGGCUCUGUAAUAUUUAGCUAGCACAAUGCAUUGUACAUACAUUAUUUAAAAGUUUAGUCACAUGGAAGUUAGCAGACUAACGCAUCAUUAAGUUCUCUGUUCCAACUGACUUAACAGGAGGAGAGCAGAACUUACUUGUUAUCUCUCUCCUGUAACUCGGUUAGUCUGUUUAUGAACUAUGCAUGAUUUAGAGUACUAAAAGAGUAUUAAAUGAAUGGCAUCUGUAUUGGAUGACCACUGGUGGUUGGGUUGACCGAACAAUUUCUAUACGCUUUAAACCGACAAUUACAUAGUACAUCCCCUUGUUUAACCUCAUCUCUAUCAGCUGCAGCUGGGCAAUCACUGAUACAACAAGUGCUGCUUUUAAGUAGGUGUAUCGGUUCCAUUCAACAAACCACAGGAUUGAAAUCCCACUAACCAACAACUAGUGGUAAUUAUUAGUCCUACUACCAAACAUACUGAGGAUUUUUAUUCGCUUUUCCACCAAUUGAUGGCAUCAACGAAUAAAGAACAAGGGUCAUUGUCCUUCCUCUAAUCAUUGCGUUUUAGGCUGCUUUCGUAACAAACCAUUAGAAAGGCCAAUGGCUGUCUUGUGAAUACUCACGAAACACAGCAGAUUCCAUAGAAAAGGUGGGAUGAUGAAUCAGUUCAAAGACACCAAUAUUAUUUAGACUUAAUAGCUAGAGCAAAUGUGUCUUUGUAAAGUAUAAUGAUAGAACUUAUAACAAGAAAGUCAACCGUGAAUUUUCAUGACCAUUCCUCUUCAACAGUUGAAGGUCAUUGCAGGGGCAACUGUCUGAUACUCAAAGGGUAAAAUCCCAGUGAUCGCAAUUGGAGCGUUUGAUGAGUAAUAACUGAAUAAUAAUUGCAAGAUUUCAAGAUGUUUCGAAGUGCUCUUUCCCUGUCAUGUAAUGACUCACGCAGAAUCAUCUGCAUAUGUAGCUAAGAUAUGAAUAUUUAAUAAGACAUCAUAACGAUAUA